AUACGUAGGGAGCAAGCGUUGUCCGGAUUUACUGGGUGUAAAGGGUGCGUAGGCGGGAAAUCAAGUCAGGCGUGAAAACUAUGGGCUCAACCCAUAGCCUGCGUUUGAAACUGGUUUUCUUGAGUGAAGCAGAGGUAGGCGGAAUUCCCGGUGUAGCGGUGAAAUGCGUAGAGAUCGGGAGGAACACCAGUGGCGAAGGCGGCCUACUGGGCUUUAACUGACGCUGAGGCACGAAAGCGUGGGUAGC
Molecule: ribosomal RNA, 247 nt
Filed under: uncultured bacterium
Lineage: Bacteria
Description: partial 16S ribosomal RNA
Rfam family: Bacterial small subunit ribosomal RNA
Source: RNAcentral